UACGAAGGGGGCUAGCGUUGUUCGGAAUUAUUGGGCGUAAAGAGCUCGUAGGUGGUUUGUUACGUCUGCUGUGAAAACCUAGGGCUUAACCCUGGGCUUGCAGUGGAUACGGGCAGACUAGAGGUAGGUAGGGGAGAAUGGAAUUCCUGGUGUAGCGGUGAAAUGCGCAGAUAUCAGGAGGAACACCGGUGGCGAAGGCGGUUCUCUGGGCCUUACCUGACACUGAGGAGCGAAAGCGUGGGGAGCGAACAGG
RNAcentral lists this ribosomal RNA (253 nucleotides) under uncultured bacterium. RNAcentral describes it as "partial 16S ribosomal RNA". It matches the Rfam family "Bacterial small subunit ribosomal RNA", at positions 524 to 776 of the family's 1533-position model. The record is from RNAcentral.